RNAcentral lists this transfer RNA (84 nucleotides) under Treponema socranskii. RNAcentral describes it as "tRNA-Leu(cag)". It matches the Rfam family "tRNA". From Rfam's summary of the family: Transfer RNA (tRNA) molecules are approximately 80 nucleotides in length. Their secondary structure includes four short double-helical elements and three loops (D, anti-codon, and T loops). Lineage: Bacteria; Pseudomonadati; Spirochaetota; Spirochaetia; Treponematales; Treponemataceae. The record is from RNAcentral. RNAcentral also lists the same sequence under 2 other names.
GCCCGGAUGGUGGAAUUGGCAGACACGCUAGUUUCAGGUACUAGUGAGUUCACGCUCAUGGGGGUUCAAGUCCCCCUCCGGGCA